CCUACGGGAGGCAGCAGUGGGGAAUAUUGCACAAUGGGCGGAAGCCUGAUGCAGCGACGCCGCGUGAGGGAUGAAGGCCUUCGGGUUGUAAACCUCUUUCAGCAGGGACGAAGCGUGAGUGACGGUACCUGCAGAAGAAGCACCGGCUAACUACGUGCCAGCAGCCGCGGUAAUACGUAGGGUGCGAGCGUUGUCCGGAAUUACUGGGCGUAAAGAGUUCGUAGGCGGUUUGUCGCGUCGUUUGUGAAAACCCGGGGCUCAACUUCGGGCUUGCAGGCGAUACGGGCAGACUUGAGUGUUUCAGGGGAGACUGGAAUUCCUGGUGUAGCGGUGAAAUGCGCAGAUAUCAGGAGGAACACCGGUGGCGAAGGCGGGUCUCUGGGAAACAACUGACGCUGAGGAACGAAAGCGUGGGUAGCAAACAGGAUUAGAUACCCUGGUAGUCCACGCCGUAAACGGUGGGCGCUAGGUGUGGGUUCCUUCCACGGGAUCUGUGCCGUAGCUAACGCAUUAAGCGCCCGCUGGGGNGUCGCGCAGACAACACAAGAGUAGUAGCGNGNGAGAGCGACGACGACGACGACGGAGGAG
RNAcentral lists this ribosomal RNA (588 nucleotides) under uncultured bacterium. Its description in RNAcentral is "bacterial SSU rRNA". The stretch from base 1 to 523 matches the Rfam family "Bacterial small subunit ribosomal RNA", at positions 338 to 873 of the family's 1533-position model. The record is from RNAcentral.